AGACCGAUGGUGUAACGGUAGCACAGCAGUUUUUGGUACUGCUUGUCUAGGUUCGAAUCCUAGUCGGUCUGC
This 72-nucleotide transfer RNA is filed under the name Phycisphaerae bacterium. RNAcentral describes it as "tRNA-Gln". It matches the Rfam family "tRNA". From Rfam's summary of the family: Transfer RNA (tRNA) molecules are approximately 80 nucleotides in length. Their secondary structure includes four short double-helical elements and three loops (D, anti-codon, and T loops). Lineage: Bacteria; Pseudomonadati; Planctomycetota; Phycisphaerae. The record is from RNAcentral.